RNAcentral lists this long non-coding RNA (521 nucleotides) under Chinchilla lanigera (long-tailed chinchilla). RNAcentral's name for it is "lncRNA (ENSCLAG00000023746.1)". The record is from RNAcentral. Lineage: Eukaryota; Metazoa; Chordata; Mammalia; Rodentia; Chinchillidae.
CUCCUUCCUUUUUUCUUUCCUCCCUCCCUCUGGGUCCUCCCUUCAUCUUUCUCUCUCUCUUAAGCUUUUUCCUACUACUUUAGCUAUUAUUCCUACCCUCCCCAGUCCUUCCUUAGAUUAGACCAUGGGAGUUGGGAAGAGUUCUAAGAUCUAAAUCAGUCCCAGUAGCAACAGAGAAGAAAACACUAAGAUCCAGGGAGUGAGUGAAAGCAUCUUGGCCAAGGCUCCGUGAGGCAAAGCUGGAGGAGCCAGGCUCUGGUGUCCACUGCUCACCUCUUGAUGGAUUCACCCAUGCUGGGACCGCAGAUACCUUCCUGCAGGCAGAUGUUCAUGGAGGAGAGCAAUUAGGUCGCAGGUUGCCAGUGAAGGAGAGGAGAGCUAGGGUGAGCCAGGGAUGCUGGAAGCAGCCAUUGCCCAUGAGACGGUGGACAAAAGCAUCACUGAAAUGACAUGAGGCAAAGCAAACCGCCUCCCCUCCUAAGAGAGCCGGCACGUCUCACACUGAAGGGUCUUCAGCUUCA